GACGAACGCUGGCGGCGUGCCUAACACAUGCAAGUCGAACGGAAAGGCCCUGCUUUUGUGCGGUGCUCGAGUGGCGAACGGGUGAGUAACACGUGAGUAACCUGCCCUUGUCUUUCGGAUAACUUCAGGAAACUGGGGCUAAUACCGGAUAGGAGCUCCUGCUGCAUGGUGGGCGUUGGAAAGUUUCGGCGGUCGGGGUUGGAUGCGCGGCUUACCAGCUUGUUGGUCGGGUAGUGGAUUACCAAGUCUUUGACGGAUAGCCGGCCUGGGAGGGUGGACAGGGUCAUUAGGACUAAGGUAGGCAGCAGUGUGGAACAGGAGGCAAUGGGGGGAAGUAUGACACAGUGAGCCGGAGUGUGUGAAGAAGGCGUCGGGGGCGGAAAGACGGUCUGCGGGUUAAGAACAGCUGUAGCCUGAGACGAAGCGGGAGUGACGGUACUGAAUAAAGAAGCACCGGCUAACUACGUG
This 468-nucleotide ribosomal RNA is filed under the name uncultured bacterium. RNAcentral's name for it is "partial 16S ribosomal RNA". It matches the Rfam family "Bacterial small subunit ribosomal RNA", at positions 28 to 507 of the family's 1533-position model. The record is from RNAcentral.